UACGUAGGUGGCAAGCGUUGUCCGGAAUUAUUGGGCGUAAAGCGCGCGCAGGCGGUCUUCUAAGUCUGAUGUGAAAGCCCCCAGCUUAACUGGGGAGGGUCAUUGGAAACUGGGAGACUUGAGUACAGAAGAGGAGAGUGGAAUUCCACGUGUAGCGGUGAAAUGCGUAGAGAUGUGGAGGAACACCAGUGGCGAAGGCGACUCUCUGGUCUGUAACUGACGCUGAGGCGCGAAAGCGUGGGGAGCAAACCGG
Molecule: ribosomal RNA, 253 nt
Filed under: uncultured bacterium
Lineage: Bacteria
Description: partial 16S ribosomal RNA
Rfam family: Bacterial small subunit ribosomal RNA
Source: RNAcentral